AUUACUUUCCAGACGAGGCCCAUUUAUAACUUUAUCAGAUGAUGAGGCAGUUGUUCUGCACUGUCGAAACAUCUUCAUUCCUGUGCUUCGGGUAAACAUUUUUGGUAAGAAAGAGGACGCCAUUUCAAUCACGAAUCGCUGGGUAUUAAAUUGAAACAAUUAUUUAUAUAUUAAGUUUUAAAUCGGACUUUUGACUUCAUACUAUAGAGUAUUAAAAUCCCGACUUUGUUCCUCAAGAUAUUUGGAUUAUUUGAUAUUUGCUCCCAAAGCUAAAAAUCAUCAAAUUUGUCUAGGCAGUAUGGUCGUCUUCGGUCAGCUUUUAAUACAAAAUUGCAG
This is a non-coding RNA of Paramuricea clavata, 336 nucleotides long. The record is from the annotation of a GenBank genome assembly. NCBI's taxonomy places the organism in Eukaryota, Metazoa, Cnidaria, Anthozoa, Malacalcyonacea, Plexauridae.